This 253-nucleotide ribosomal RNA is filed under the name uncultured bacterium. Its description in RNAcentral is "partial 16S ribosomal RNA". It matches the Rfam family "Bacterial small subunit ribosomal RNA", at positions 524 to 776 of the family's 1533-position model. The record is from RNAcentral.
UACGGGGGGGGCAAGCGUUGUUCGGAAUUACUGGGCGUAAAGGGCUCGUAGGCGGCCAACUAAGUCAGACGUGAAAUCCCCAGGCUCAACCUGGGAACUGCGUCUGAUACUGGAUGGCUUGAAUCCGGGAGAGGGAUGCAGAAUUCCGGGUGUAGCGGUGAAAUGCGUAGAUAUCUGGAGGAAUACCGGUGGCGAAGGCGGCAUCCUGGACCGGCAUUGACGCUGAGGAGCGAAAGCCAGGGGAGCAAACGGG